GGAAGCCUUCCCUGAGAGAAGUAGUUUUUUCUCAAGGUCACGGAGCUGAUUCAGAGGAAAGCUGACUUCUACCUUCCCGUCUAGUGUCCAUUUCAUCCAUAUCCAAACGUGCAGGCUCCUACUGCUUUUAGAAGAUCUUGGCCAUUUUAAAGAGGCAGAUUUGGGAUCUGUGUGCAGUGAUUUGAGGAAGGUGGGGUUUUCUGUUUUGCUUUGUGGGGAGCUGGCACAGCAGAGGGGAAAUAAAGGCCUGCAGCCCGGCAAGUAGGGUCUUACUAGUAGCUCAGUGACCUUGAGCUGAUAAGCCACCAUCGAGUCUCAAAUACCCCAUCUGUAAAUAGGGGGUCAUGGUGGUUUUAAAAUACGUCCACAAAUUCUUUAGUACUCCUCCAAGGGGUGGAGCCUAAUUCCCCUCCCCCUGAGUAGGGGCCGUACUUAGUAACUGGCUUCUAAUGAACAGAAUGUGGAGGAAAUGAUGGUGGGUGAAUUCUGAGGCUAGGUCAUAAAAGGCAUCAUGGCUUCCACCUUGCUCUCUUUCUUGGAUCACUGGAUCUGGGGAAAGCCAGCUGCUAUAUUGUGAAGAUGCUCAAGUAGCCCAGUGGAGAGGCCCAUGUGGAGAAUUGGGGUUUCCUUUCAACAACCCAAACUAACUUGCCAGGAUUGUGAGAUAGACACCUUAGAAGUGGCUCUCCCAGUCCCAGUCAAGCCUUCGGAUGACUGCUGCCCCAGACCACAACUUGACUACAACUUCACGAGGGACCUUGAACCAGAACCUCCCAGCUAAGCCAUUCCUGAUUCCUGACCUUCAGAUACUGUAAUGACCACACCCAGCCUGGGCAAAUGCUGCCUACAAGGCUAGCUGCAUGAGAACAAGUCAGACGCCGAAUUCAUCAAUAUCGUUUAUCCAAUGACCACAGCCGAGGAUCCUUCUCCGUGCGGCAAGAACAGGGACCGGAAAUCUUUAAUCUUCAGGAGUUGCAAGAGGUGGCUGGGAGCUUGGUGUUGAGCGUGAGGCUGGCUCUGGCCCCUUUGGGUGGCCUGUGCCAUCCUGCUGAGCCCCCUCCCCAGCUAUAACCCUCUUGCGAUAUAAGCAUGGGUAUGGUAGGCACAAGAGAUAAGCCUCAGGAAUUAAACAGAAAAUUACCAUUCUCAUUAAAAAUAUCCCAGGGCCGCUCUCCCGAGCACUUUAAAGCUGUUUUAACUGCUGUUUGUCAUUCUGUCAUCAUUAUUCUUAAACAUGUAGGUAAAUAUUUUAUUAAACGUCUUCACUGCUUGGCAGUUAAGGAGCCCUUUGCUCCUGGACC
RNAcentral lists this long non-coding RNA (1301 nucleotides) under Equus caballus (horse). Its description in RNAcentral is "lncRNA (ENSECAG00000053925.1)". Lineage: Eukaryota; Metazoa; Chordata; Mammalia; Perissodactyla; Equidae. The record is from RNAcentral.